Long non-coding RNA from Gadus chalcogrammus (walleye pollock), 5190 nucleotides. RefSeq lists it as uncharacterized. The transcript is spliced from 8 exons. NCBI's taxonomy places the organism in Eukaryota, Metazoa, Chordata, Actinopteri, Gadiformes, Gadidae. The record is from RefSeq and is a predicted model, not a curated record.
CAGUACGGUGGAGUCCUCCACUGUUUGGCAGUGUCGUGUCUCCCAAACGCAGGGCUGUUGUGACUUAUUUGACAUAUCUUCCUGUUUCACAGGUUAAAGACUUUUUGAAGUAAAGAGGAGCAUCUCAUCUGAACCUGAUGUCUAUCAUGGAUAUUUAACUGCAGUUCUGUGAGUAUCCCAACUUAACCAUGAAGAUGAACUGCAAACUGUAAGUCAUUAAUUUCUCAUUACUCUUGGGCACAUUGAUGUAUUUUGGCUUCCUGGUGAGUUAACCCGUUAGCUGAAGGUUGAUCUGAGUAGUAAGGAUGUUUUAUUGGUUCAUGGGUUACUUAGGUGUUUGGUUUAUGUUGGUUUUAAUGAUUUGUUAAAAUGGUUACAGGCUCCAAGUUAUUGUUGUAAACUGGAGUAAUGGGUUGGGUUCUGAUAUCUUCAGUCUUCUUUCCAGCUACUCUCCUGAGCUCUGCAUCUUCAUCACAUGAGUGUUGCUCUACUGUGAGGGUGUGGUCUGAGUGAGCAGAGGUGCAUACUGGGAUACAGAGCUGUCUGAAUUCUACAGGUCUGUAGACGCGCCCCCUCAGGGGAAACCGAGUGUUUGAGAAACCGUUGUGACGUCAGUUACAUGGACUAGAAUGUUCUUUAAGAUGGAGACAGGGAUUCAGAAGGAGAAAAACCAGGGGGAGAUGAGGGGGCUCCUCAUCUCAACGACUAAAACACAACUUCAGUCUGACACGGAGAACCAUGGAACACAUUCAACCGUCCCCUCCAGGCAUCGUGACUCCUCAGGAAGAGUUUCAUUUCCAAGAAGGUCUUAUUUGGGGCCAUCCCCAUAUGGAUCCUGCUCCUCAAGAGCCACCCCCCCUCCACUGGGUGGUCUUCUGAACAGAUGACCUCCUUCCUGUCCUCAGGCUGACUAAAGCUGCACCGUUUGCAUCUGUGAAGGCCCCUCAUUCAGGAAACCACUGGACUACAAAGACAUGACUUCAGAGACGUUGAAUCAACCUGGAACACAUUUUGAAGACGCCAAGCAUAAUCCAUCACCAAUGUGGGACGCCACUGAAAAAUGUUGCACAUAAUUUACUUCUCUGGAGACAUUGGUUGUUCUGUUCUGGGUGCCCUGGCAGGAGAGCUGGGGUUGGAUGAUGGAACGUUAUUUGGCAUGAGGUUUUUAACCUGCAUGAUUGUUUGACCUUUUAUGGCUCAGUGGUGUGUGUGUGUGUGUGUGUGUGUUUGGGUUUGACAUGAUAUGGAUGAUUUUUGACCAUCGCUAGGGUUCUACUGUGUGUGUCUCCCACUCACAGCUGGCAUGGGGUUCUACGUGCGUGUCCUGGAUUCUAUGUGUGUGUGUCCGGCUUGCUUUGACAGUAAUAAUGUUCAUACGGGGGUCUGUGUGAUUGGCUUGGGAUAUUGGUCAAUUAAAUCAUACCUGAUGGACGGCCACACGUUUACUUAAGGGCCUCCAGUAGACAUGAAGAGCCCAGAGCGACACUCCGGAGCGAGAUCCAACACACUGGGCAGGAAGGACAGUAUCCAACUCAAGUGUAAAAGGAUGUAAGCGGCGUGUUCAGAUCAGUGACUUCAAACUAGGACUACACCAAUCAGGAUCAAUGGAGGAUGGACACCUAAAGGAAUUCCACAAGGAGAGUGACGUUGGAAAGGGACCUAAAUGGAUAUUCAAGAUGACCUUCAGACCUGUAAUGAGACGGCUCUUCCUUCCUGGCUGGAUUGAUGGAGAGCCCUGUGGAUCUUGUCUUGCUCUCAGUUGCACGUCUUCUCAGGCUGAACUGUAUUUGUUUCGGACAGGACUAGCUGAACGAUUGGUUCCCUUAAAUCAGAACCAAUCUGGGAACUCCAACUAGUGCGCUCUUCGAGCUGAAGUUUUGCUCUUCAGCUGAGGAGGUAAGGAAACCUUCACUGGGGUUUCAAGGUGUAAAGAGGAGGAUGUUUCAAAGUGUUCCAUGGUACUCUGAUGAGGACCGUUGUUGUGUUCCACUGGCUGGGAGGAAGAACCCUCACAUCUUCCUCUUGGCUUUUCUCCUCUGAGAAUCCUGGCGCCAUCUUGAAGGAUAUUCCAGCUCAUGCAACUGAUGUCAUGACAGAUUCUCAAACACUUGGUUUCUCCUGAGGGGCGUGUCUAUAGAACUGAAGACUUGAGACGGCACUGUAUCCCAGCAUGCAUCUCUGCUCACUCAGACCACACCCCCAUUAGUAGGAUGCAACAUUCUAGGGAUGGAGAUGUAGAGUUUUAUAAAGUAACGAGGGAGCAGACAAAGGUGUUUAGAACACAAUGGCAUGUCAAGUCUGUAAAUCUCUAAACCAUGAAGAUGAUUGGAUAGUUCAGGAAUUGGGCUUCUAUUUAUUAUGAGCAGUCCUUUCGCUCAGAUGCCCACUUCCCACUAGACCUGUACAUGUGUUGGCUGGCUGGCAUGAUUUGCUGUUGGUGAUGAGGCGGUCAGGGUGACGUUGCAGGGCUUAUGGUCGGCUCUCUGUGAGCUCAACCUUUAGAUUUGCUCUGUAUGGUUUUUACCCUGAAUAAUCUAGAUAAUUGUAAAAUGUAGACACGGUUUUGUAUUGAAUGAUUCCAUUGUUCUUAGGCAAGGAUUUGAGGUUUAAAGUUGUUGUGGGACGUACAUGGUAGUUUGGUUCUUUGUACGGUUUUGAGUGAUAUAACAUGUACACACUGGGUGCAUAUUAAUGUAAAGGUACACUGAAUAGUAGCAAUGACCAACAGCAACAAACAGAUCUCCUCAAGGUAAGUCUGUUGGCUGUGUUUUAAUGAAGACCAUCGCUGGACUUCAGGAUCUUCCUCCGUUCAGCUCAAGGUGAGGCGCUGGUUAUGUUUUUUUCUUUGGUUGGUUCCGGCCGGAAUGUUCGGAUUCCGGUCGGACGGUUUGUGCUUCCCGCCGUGGAAGUUUCUGAGUGCGGUCACUUUAUUUAGUCCCAAUGGUUAGCAUAGAACGUUGUAGUCUUGAUAAACAUUAGAAGACACCUGGCAGUUAGUUGGAGCGGAGUCCCCCGAGGGAAUCUGGCGGAACGUUCUGGCUUGUAUUUGCGUAACCUCGAGCCGUUGCCAACGGAAAAAAAAUUUCAGUCGGUUUCCAUUGGGAAUUGUUGCCCCUUAUCUUAAACAACUUAAGUUUGAUAUAAAAUAAUAAUAAUAAAUAAUACAUUUAAUUUAAAGGGCGCCUUUCAAGACACCCAAGGUCACCUUACAGAGCAUAAAGUUAUCAUAAAUCGUUUAAAAACAAGACAUUGUGGAAAAAUACUAAUAAUAGAUAAAUAAAUAAAACAAAAACAAGACAAAACAAACAAUCAAGACAGUGAUCAGUUAGACGUAAAUACAUACUGACACGUACGUCGUACAAUAUCUUGAUAAUUUUCGAUGGUUGCGCCGUACUUCUAACCACGUUGACGGGACUCGCGCUGCGUACGAAACGGCCUUCUACUUGCGGGCCCAUUUUUGACAUCAGUGAAGGCUGUAAAUCAUUUCAAGCUGGAAGACAUUUUGACAGUUCUUCAACGGAACCCAACACCUGAAUAUGGCUGAGUAAAUUUGAUUUAAUAUCGAUACUGCUUAGUGUUUGUUACUUGUGCUUUUGUACGUUCUAAAUAUCUGCGGCCAUUAAUUGCCACAGAAGUUAAACCCUACCCAAUGGAAUGACGUUACACAACGACUUUGUUGCAGAGUUACCAACUGGAUAAUAUCAAAGCUAAAAUAAUGGCAGUUUUUCUCACAUGUUACAGUAGAAGAUUAUCCAGAACUGUAAAAGGUUAAAAAGGUAACAUGUAGUUUGUCCCAAGGUGUCUGCCUCCUCACCCAGAGCCAGACCUCCACCUCCUCACCCAGAGCCAGACCUCCACCUCCUCACCCAGAGCCAGACCUCCGCCUCCUCACCCAGAGCCAGACCUCCGCCUCCUCACCCAGAGCCAGACCUCCGCCUCCUCACCCAGAGCCAGACCUCCGCCUCCUCCCCCAGAGCCAGACCUCCACCUCCUCACCCAGAGCCAGACCUCCACCUCCUGUCAGAAGUCCUCCAGAACAGCUGAGAGGCGAGGCUGAGAGGCUGGGGACCGUCUUGUGGUGCCAGGAUGGACCGGAGACUGAGGCUGGAGACCAGGGGCCUGCAGCACCGGACCAGAGGGCCCCGCCUGGUGGAGGAGCUGGUGGAGGCCCUGCCUGGUGGAGGACGUCUGUCAUGGGACCAGGACUCUGUCUGAGGAGAGCUGCUGGAGGAGCUGAGACGCUGGAGGACGACUAGGAAUCGACCAACAAGGAUUCCUCAACGUGUUUCUGGAGCGGAGGUGAGGUGGUAGGGGAGCCUUGAAUCUGGAGGAGGACCAUCACUCUAACCACAAGGAUUGGAAGUUUGUAUUAACCUAACAACGUGGAAAUAAAGGGCUUUAAAAUAAGACAAACUACAUAUUUGUUUCCAGACGUAAGGGCCGGACUUGCGCUGUUUGUUCCAGACCAGGAUUCUCGCUGAGGAGAGCUGAUGGGGGAGCCAAGACUCUGGAGGACGACAUCACUCCACCAACAAGGAUCCUCAGACAAAUUACGUUUGUAACCAGACCAGGAAUCUGGAGGACUGAUGGAGAAGCCGUACAUCUGGAAGGCAAAUCCUGAGGACCACCAGGACUCUAUCAUCAAGGAUUCCUCACACACCUGAGCUGAACCUCACCUGAUCCUGUUUGUCGGGGGCAGACACACCUGAGCUGAACCCCAACUGAACCUGACAUCCUGCUGGUCCCGUCUCCUCAGUUCAUCUGAGCCUCGUCCUCCAGAAGACUUGCUGAGCUCAGCAGAGACUGAUGUAUCAAUGACCUCCAGUGGGAGUGAUCUUCUUGACCCCACAUGUAACCGUGUGCUUCCACACGCCUUUCCCUCACGUCUGUCACUAACCUCACUACUUCACUACUCUCUACUGCUUCUUCUUCUUCCUUCUCUGUGGUUCGAACCUUUACACGGAAGGCGCGUCUUCCUGCCCUCAGAGGGUUCAGCGUUAGGGUUGAGAGUCAGGGUUUAGAGUCAGGGACAGAGCUGGUCAGGGAGGACUGAUUUAACACAAACCUCUUCACUUGCUUUCGGAAUGGUGGUGACAUUUUGAAAAGAUUCAUUUGGGAAAAUGUUUUCCUCUACUUCCCUUUACAAAAUUGUAUUAAACUUCUGUCAAGUGCUUUUGUUAUAUAUUAAAA